CUCAAACGACGGGAACCAGCGUAGAUUUUUAAACCAAUUUCUAAAUACGCCAUUUUGGAAUUCAUCAGAAUUAUGACUGCAAACACACGCAUUUACAGGGUUUUUUGGAUUCAAAAUAGUACGUAUACAGAAAAUAUUGUAUGCAAGCAGUUAAACUGGGAGCAAGUUUAUGCUUAACAGAACAUGCAUAAGCCUAUAGUUUUGAAUCCAAGAUUUACCCUGUCAGAUGGAUUUAAUGUUUGACCUCAACGGUAGACUGUUUAAUUUCACUUCUGUGCAGAGAGAAUUAAUAUACAUUUCAAUAACAGGCUGUGAAGAGAAGUCUACAAAAUUACAAUGUCCAGUCAGGGAAAUCUAAGCAAUGUUAUAUUGAUGAUCACAGAUUAAUAAUUUGUACAAAGGAAGAUUAUAGGUCUAGUAAAAGGGAUAUGUGUCAUUCACUGAACAUACAAAGUAUUAUAGAUUCAUAUUUCUUGAGGAAAGAUAAGAUUUUAAUAUUGGAUGUAGUUACAACUUGUUAUUUUAGAAAUUGUAAGAAUUCAGAAUUACCAUUUUUUUUGUGAAUUAUGAUAUAUAUGAGAGGCAUUGGCUCUUGAGAUCAUAAUAAACAUUUUCUUAUAAGCUGCUAAUUUUUUGGUAUUGAAUUUUAUGUAUAGUACUGCAUUGCAUCUUUUGGACAAAAAAAAAAUAUAAAUAUUUAAUCCUACAUGUCAUUGUUUAUUUAAAAACAUCAUUCUCCAUAAUAUGGUUUUCUUCAUGCAAUAAUCAUUUCUUAUCAUCAUCAUUAAGGCUAUUUUAUCAACUUUUCUGCCUCUCAUUAUGUACCAUUGACUAAUUUCAGUAAUCUGUUUAAAAUUAAAUCCUCAAUGUUUGAUGCUUAAUUUCAGGAACCAUUGAGGGAAAAUGUGUUUGAACUGUAUGAAAACAGUUAUUUAAUUUCAACAUAUAUUGUUGGGCCCAAUUCCUUUAGUUAUAAUUUCUCUUGUAAAAAAAAAUAUUUUAUAUUUAACUAAAAACUGUUGGCUAUAGUGAAAUUAUUUUUAUUCCAUG
Anneissia japonica is the source of this 1050-nucleotide long non-coding RNA. RefSeq lists it as uncharacterized. The record is from RefSeq and is a predicted model, not a curated record. The transcript is spliced from 3 exons. Lineage: Eukaryota; Metazoa; Echinodermata; Crinoidea; Comatulida; Comatulidae.